UACGGGAGGCAGCGGGGGAAGUAUUGCACAAUGGGCGCAAGCCUGAUGCAGCCAUGCCGCGUGUAUGAAGAAGGCCUUCGGGUUGUAAAGUACUUUCAGUCGUGAGGAAGGUGUUAAGGUUAAUAACCUUAGCAAUUGACGUUAGCGACAGAAGAAGCACCGGCUAACUCCGUGCCAGCAGCCGCGGUAAUACGGAGGGUGCGAGCGUUAAUCGGAAUUACUGGGCGUAAAGGGCACGCAGGCGGUUAAUUAAGUUGGAUGUGAAAUCCCCGGGCUUAACCUGGGAAUGGCAUUCAAGACUGGUUAGCUAGAGUCUUGUAGAGGGGGUAGAAUUCCAUGUGUAGCGGUGAAAUGCGUAGAGAUGUGGAGGAAUACCGGUGGCGAAGGCGGCCCCUGGACAAAGACUGACGCUCAUGUGCGAAAGCUGGGGAGCAAACAGGGAUUAGAUACC
RNAcentral lists this ribosomal RNA (451 nucleotides) under uncultured bacterium. RNAcentral describes it as "bacterial SSU rRNA". It matches the Rfam family "Bacterial small subunit ribosomal RNA", at positions 340 to 786 of the family's 1533-position model. The record is from RNAcentral.